Molecule: ribosomal RNA, 2881 nt
Filed under: Microcystis panniformis FACHB-1757
Lineage: Bacteria; Bacillati; Cyanobacteriota; Cyanophyceae; Chroococcales; Microcystaceae
Description: bacterial LSU rRNA
Rfam family: Bacterial large subunit ribosomal RNA
Source: RNAcentral
AGGUCAAGCUAAUAAGGGCUAACGGUGGAUACCUAGGCACACGGAAGCGAAGAAGGACGUAGUUACCGACGAAACGCUUCGGGGAGCGGGAAGCAAGCAUUGAUCCGAAGAUAUCCGAAUGGGGCAACCCUAAACACGACCACCUGAAUACAUAGGGUGGAGCGAGCCAACCUGGUGAACUGAAACAUCUUAGUAGCCAGAGGAAAAGAAAGCAACAGCGAUUCCCCCAGUAGCGGCGAGCGAAAAGGGAACAGCCUAAACCAAGUUCUUCGGAACUUGGGGUCGUGGGACAGUAACAAAAGACUGGGAAAUUUAGACGAAGCGGCUGAAAACCGCACCAGAGAAGGUGAAAGUCCUGUAGUCGAAAAAGGAACCAGCUUAACUGCAUCCCGAGUAGCAUGGGGCACGUGAAAUCCCGUGUGAAUCUGCCUCGACCACGAGGUAAGGCUAAAUAUUCCCGUGUGACCGAUAGAGAAACAGUACCGCGAGGGAAAGGUGAAAAGAACCCCGGAAGGGGAGUGAAAUAGAACAUGAAACCGUUAGCCUACAAGCAAUGGGAGGACGAUUGAACGUCUGACCGUGUGCCUGUUGAAGAAUGAGCCGGCGACUUACAGGUUAUGGCAGGUGAAGGGGGAAGACCCCACAGCCCCAGCGAAAGCGAGUCUGAACAGGGCGAAAAGUCAUAAUUUGUAGACCCGAACCCGGGUGAUCUAACCAUGGCCAGGAUGAAGCUUGGGUAAAACCAAGUGGAGGUCCGAACCGACUAAUGUUGAAAAAUUAGCGGAUGAGCUGUGGUUAGGGGUGAAAUGCCAAUCGAACUCGGAGCUAGCUGGUUCUCCCCGAAAUGUGUUGAGGCGCAGCGGUAGUGGAAGUUUAGUCGGGGUAAAGCACUGUUUCGCCGCGGGCUGGGAGACCGGUACCAAGGCGAGGCAAACUCUGAAUACGGCUAAAAAAACUACCAGUGAGACGGUGGGGGAUAAGCUUCAUCGUCAAGAGGGAAACAGCCCAGACCACCAGCUAAGGUCCCCAAAUGAUAACUAAGUGAGAAAGGAGGUGGGAGUGCAUUGACAACCAGGAGGUUUGCCUAGAAGCAGCAAUCCUUAAAAGAGUGCGUAAUAGCUCACUGGUCAAGCGCUCCUGCGCCGAAAAUGAACGGGGCUAAGUUAUCUACCGAAGCUGUGGACUACAUUGUAGUGGUAGGGGAGCGUUCUAUAGGGGGUGAAGCAGUAGCGGCAAGCAGCUGUGGACUCUAUAGAAGUGAGAAUGUCGGCUUAAGUAGCGAAAAUGUGGGUGAGAAUCCCACACCCCGAAACCCCAAGGUUUCCUCCGCAAGGCUCGUCCGCGGAGGGUCAGUCAGGACCUAAGGCGAGGCUGAAAAGCGUAGUCGAUGGACAACGGGUUAACAUUCCCGUACCGAUUAAUGAUUGUGCCGGAGAACGGAGAAGGUCAACGUCAGCUGGAUGUUGGUUACCAGUGCAAGCAGUCGAGGCGAUGAGAGGUGGUGAAAACACCAGGAGCUAAGACGCGAGUCCCACCUCCCACGGGAGGGAAGUGGCGCUGAUCAAGCUUCCUAGAAAAGCCCGAACCACGUUAAUCAUUAAUUGCCUGUACCCGAAACCGACACAGGUGGGGAAGUAGAGAAUACUAAGGGGCGCGAGAUAACUCUCUCUAAGGAACUCGGCAAAAUGACCCCGUAACUUCGGGAGAAGGGGUACCCUCGCAAGAGGGUCGCAGUGAAUAGGCCCAGGCGACUGUUUACCAAAAACACAGGUCUCCGCCAAGUCGUAAGACGCAGUAUGGAGGCUGACGCCUGCCCAGUGCCGGAAGGUUAAGGAAGUUGGUCAGGAGUAAUCUGAAGCUGACGACCGAAGCCCCGGUGAACGGCGGCCGUAACUAUAACGGUCCUAAGGUAGCGAAAUUCCUUGUCGGGUAAGUUCCGACCCGCACGAAAGGCGUAACGAUCUGGGCACUGUCUCGGAGAGAGACUCGGCGAAAUAGGAUUGUCUGUGAAGAUACGGACUACCUGCACCUGGACAGAAAGACCCUAUGAAGCUUUACUGUAGCCUGGAAUUGGCUUCGGGCUUCGCUUGCGCAGGAUAGGUGGGAAGCUUUGAAACUCUCCUCGUGGGGAGAGUGGAGCUAACGGUGAGAUACCACUCUGGCGAGGCUAGAAUUCUAACCCUGACCCCUAAUCGGGGCGGGAGACAGUUUCAGGUGGGCAGUUUGACUGGGGCGGUCGCCUCCUAAAAGGUAACGGAGGCGCGCAAAGGUUCCCUCGGUCCCGUUGGAAAUGGGACGAUAGAGUGCAAAAGCAGAAGGGAGCUUGACUGUGAGACCCACAAGUCGAACAGGGACGAAAGUCGGCUUUAGUGAUCCGACGGCACCGCGUGGAAGGGCCGUCGCUCAACGGAUAAAAGUUACUCUAGGGAUAACAGGCUGAUCUCCCCCAAGAGUUCACAUCGACGGGGAGGUUUGGCACCUCGAUGUCGGCUCAUCGCAACCUGGGGCUGAAGUCGGUCCCAAGGGUUGGGCUGUUCGCCCAUUAAAGCGGUACGUGAGCUGGGUUCAGAACGUCGUGAGACAGUUCGGUCCAUAUCCGGUGUAGGCGUAAGAGCAUUGCGAGGAGCCUUCCUUAGUACGAGAGGACCGGGAAGGACGCACCGCUGGUGUACCUGUUAUCGUGCCAACGGUAAACGCAGGGUAGCCAUGUGCGGAGCGGAUAACCGCUGAAAGCAUCUAAGUGGGAAGCCCACCUCCAGAUGAUUGCUCUCAUGGCAUUAAGCCAGUAAGGUCUCGGGUAGACUACCCGUUGAUAGGCUCUAGAUGGAAGCUCGGUAACGAGUGCAGUCGAGGAGUACUAACCGACCGAGGGCUUGACCUC